Molecule: ribosomal RNA, 435 nt
Filed under: uncultured bacterium
Lineage: Bacteria
Description: partial 16S ribosomal RNA
Rfam family: Bacterial small subunit ribosomal RNA
Source: RNAcentral
UAGGGAAUCUUCCACAAUGGACGCAAGUCUGAUGGAGCAACGCCGCGUGAGUGAAGAAGGCUUUCGGGUCGUAAAACUCUGUUAUUGAAGAAGAACGUGCGUGACAGUAACUGGUCAUGCAGUGACGGUAUUCAAUCAGAAAAGUCACGGCUAACUACGUGCCAGCAGCCGCGGUAAUACGUAGGUGGCAAGCGUUGUCCGGAUUUAUUGGGCGUAAAGCGAGUGCGGGCGGUCUUUUAAGUCUGAUGUGAAAGCCUUCGGCUUAACCGAAGAAGGGCAUCGGAAACUGGGAGACUUGAGUGCAGAAGAGGAGAGUGGAACUCCAUGUGUAGCGGUGAAAUGCGUAGAUAUAUGGAAGAACACCAGUGGCGAAGGCGGCUCUCUGGUCUGUAACUGACGCUGAGGCUCGAAAGCGUGGGUAGCAAACAGGAUUAG